RNAcentral lists this ribosomal RNA (253 nucleotides) under Balneolaceae bacterium. RNAcentral's name for it is "partial 16S ribosomal RNA". It matches the Rfam family "Bacterial small subunit ribosomal RNA", at positions 524 to 776 of the family's 1533-position model. Lineage: Bacteria; Pseudomonadati; Balneolota; Balneolia; Balneolales; Balneolaceae. RNAcentral also lists the same sequence under 1 other name. The record is from RNAcentral.
UACGGAGGGUGCAAGCGUUGUCCGGAAUCAUUGGGUGUAAAGGGUACGCAGGCGGGCGUCUGCGUCCGGGGUGAAAUCCUGCCGCUUAACGGUAGAAGGGCCUCGGAUACGAGACGUCUUGAGACCAGCAGAGGCUGGCGGAAUUCGUGGUGUAGCGGUGAAAUGCAUAGAUAUCACGAAGAACACCAGUGGCGAAAGCGGCCGGCUGGGCUGGAUCUGACGCUGAGGUACGAAAGCGUGGGGAGCGAACAGG